RNAcentral lists this small nuclear RNA (101 nucleotides) under Peromyscus maniculatus bairdii (prairie deer mouse). The record is from RNAcentral. Lineage: Eukaryota; Metazoa; Chordata; Mammalia; Rodentia; Cricetidae.
CUCGUUUCAGGAGUUGUACUACAACUAGAAUAUUACAGAGGUGAUUAGCAUGUCCAUUGUACAAGGAUGACACUCAAAUUCAUGAGGUGUUCCAUAUUUUU